UCUGUUGGUCCAUUUGGUGCUGGUAACUUACACAAGACCCAAAAGGACCAAAAGCUGCUGCCCCUGUUGGUUUGGGGUGCAGGGAACCAGGUCGUGCUCCUGCAACAGUGGGCACGGGUAGGGGGGGAACCAGAGCAGGGAUUCCUGCUGCCGAGUGCAUCCACCCCACAGAGCCCAGGGAAUGUCAGCCCCGGGCCCUGAGGCUGCUCUGCAAGGAUGGGGAAAGAAACCCAAAAGCCAAAUUCUUCAGGCCAAGAGGAACCACUGAACACCUGCAGUGAUCCAGAGGAACAGUGCAAAUGGGGGUCCUGCAGAACCGAGUCAGACCGGAGAACAUCCCCCAAGGUGUGUGUUCUCCUCGCUCUGAGUGUGUUCCUGGGGAUCCUCAGCUUGAGCCUGCCUGGAGCAGUGACUGGUGAGUCCCACCCAGGCACCC
Lepidothrix coronata (blue-crowned manakin) is the source of this 436-nucleotide long non-coding RNA. RefSeq lists it as uncharacterized. The transcript has 3 exons. The record is from RefSeq and is a predicted model, not a curated record. Lineage: Eukaryota; Metazoa; Chordata; Aves; Passeriformes; Pipridae.